Molecule: ribosomal RNA, 448 nt
Filed under: uncultured bacterium
Lineage: Bacteria
Description: SSU rRNA
Rfam family: Bacterial small subunit ribosomal RNA
Source: RNAcentral
AGAGCGAACGCUGGCGGCAGGCCUAACACAUGCAAGUCGAGCGCCCGUAGCAAUACGGGAGCGGCAGACGGGAUAGUAACACGUGGGAACGCGCCCUUCGGUUCGGAAUAACUCAGGGAAACUUGAGCUAAUACCGGAUACGCCCUUACGGGGAAAGAUUUAUUGCCGAAGGAACGGCCCGCGUCCGAUUAGCUAGUUGGUGAGGUAAUGGCUCACCAAGGCGACGAUCGGUAGCUGGUCUGAGAGGAUGACCAGCAUCACUGGGACUGAGACACGGCCCAGACUCCUACGGGAGGCAGCAGUGGGGAAUAUUGGACAAUGGGCGCAAGCCUGAUCCAGCCAUGCCGCGUGGAUGAUGAAGGCCCUAGGGUUGUAAAGUCCUUUUAACGGGGAAGAUAAUGACGGUACCCGUAGAAUAAGCCCCGGCUAACUUCGUGCCAGCAGCCGC